GUGCACUAUAAAGGGACUAGGGCUCUGGUCUAAAGUAGUGCACUAUAUAGGGACUAGGGCUCUGGUCUAAAGUAGUGUACUAUAUAGGGAAUAGGGCCCUGGUCUAAAGUAGUGUACUAUAUAGGGAAUAGGGCCCUGGUCUAAUGUAGUGUACUAUAUAGGGAAUAGGGUGCCAUUUCGAAGACAACCUGUGUUUUUAAUUAGAUCUGAUUAAUAAAGUGUUUCAAAACCUGUGCAAUCUGACAUUUGUUCCUCUCUCUUUGGUAAUGUAUUAUGACUUAUAGCAGGCAUAUGAAGUGUCAUAAGAGAGAGGGCAGCCAUAAUGCAUCCUGUUUCUAUCCCAUUCAUUUGUCCCUCCAUCGUCAUUCAUCCACACACAACAGUAAAGUCAUAUCCCACCAGUAGGAUACAGACCUUCACAGAAACAUCUCUAAUCUGUGAUUGGGCAACAAGGUCAGAAGUCACAUGCAACGUUGUAUCCAUGGCAACCGUAACUGCCAGCUCAUAGAAUCAGCAAAAAGUCAGAACAGAUCAGUGAAUGUGUAUUUGAAAUGUUACUUUGACUAUCAUAUAUUUAUUCAACCAUUAUGGCCUUAUUUCAACAGUAUGUGCAGCAUAUUUUGAUGUACUAUCCAGAGUAUUUAGCUACUGUAUUACUAUUGUACAAUCACAAGAUAUCUAGUAUAUGUUUUGUAGACCUUUGUAUUGAAUCUCUGUGACUAGUUUGUAGUUUAUCAGUACUCAGUCGUUGCCAUAUAAAGACGUGAUACCAGCCCACCUUCAGCCAUUAAAUACUUUACCAGUGUUUCCCCUC
Long non-coding RNA from Oncorhynchus nerka (sockeye salmon), 814 nucleotides. RefSeq lists it as uncharacterized. NCBI's taxonomy places the organism in Eukaryota, Metazoa, Chordata, Actinopteri, Salmoniformes, Salmonidae. The record is from RefSeq and is a predicted model, not a curated record. The transcript has 2 exons.